RNAcentral lists this ribosomal RNA (836 nucleotides) under Streptomyces sp. IM-7235. Its description in RNAcentral is "bacterial SSU rRNA". It matches the Rfam family "Bacterial small subunit ribosomal RNA", at positions 38 to 889 of the family's 1533-position model. Lineage: Bacteria; Bacillati; Actinomycetota; Actinomycetes; Kitasatosporales; Streptomycetaceae. The record is from RNAcentral.
GGCGGCGUGCUUAACACAUGCAAGUCGAACGAUGAAGCCCUUCGGGGUGGAUUAGUGGCGAACGGGUGAGUAACACGUGGGCAAUCUGCCCUUCACUCUGGGACAAGCCCUGGAAACGGGGUCUAAUACCGGAUAACACUCUGUCCCGCAUGGGAUGGGGUUGAAAGCUCCGGCGGUGAAGGAUGAGCCCGCGGCCUAUCAGCUUGUUGGUGGGGUGAUGGCCUACCAAGGCGACGACGGGUAGCCGGCCUGAGAGGGCGACCGGCCACACUGGGACUGAGACACGGCCCAGACUCCUACGGGAGGCAGCAGUGGGGAAUAUUGCACAAUGGGCGAAAGCCUGAUGCAGCGACGCCGCGUGAGGGAUGACGGCCUUCGGGUUGUAAACCUCUUUCAGCAGGGAAGAAGCGCAAGUGACGGUACCUGCAGAAGAAGCGCCGGCUAACUACGUGCCAGCAGCCGCGGUAAUACGUAGGGCGCAAGCGUUGUCCGGAAUUAUUGGGCGUAAAGAGCUCGUAGGCGGCUUGUUGCGUCGGUUGUGAAAGCCCGGGGCUUAACCCCGGGUCUGCAGUCGAUACGGGCAGGCUAGAGUGUGGUAGGGGAGAUCGGAAUUCCUGGUGUAGCGGUGAAAUGCGCAGAUAUCAGGAGGAACACCGGUGGCGAAGGCGGAUCUCUGGGCCAUUACUGACGCUGAGGAGCGAAAGCGUGGGGAGCGAACAGGAUUAGAUACCCUGGUAGUCCACGCCGUAAACGUUGGGAACUAGGUGUUGGCGACAUUCCACGUCGUCGGUGCCGCAGCUAACGCAUUAAGUUCCCCGCCUGGGGAGUACGGCCGC